UUAAGCAUGCAAGUCGAACGGUAAUAGAGUGCUUGCACUCUAUGAGAGUGGCGGACGGGUGAGUAACACGUAGAUAAUCUGCCUUUGGAUUGGGGAUAGCAUAUGGAAACAUGUGGUAAUACCGAAUAAGCUCCUAGCAGCACAAGCUGUCUGGAGGAAAGGUGCUUAGGCACCGUCCGAAGAUGAGUCUGCGCUUCAUUAGCUAGUUGGUGGGGUAAAGGCCUACCAAGGCGACGAUGAAUAGCCGGCCUGAGAGGGUGGACGGCCACACUGGGACUGAGACACGGCCCAGACUCCUACGGGAGGCAGCAGCUAAGAAUCUUCCGCAAUGGGGGAAACCCUGACGGAGCGACGCCGCGUGAACGAUGAAGGCGGAAACGUUGUAAAGUUCUUUCUUGGGGAGGAAUAAGUCUAUCAGGUAAUGGGUGGAUGAUGACGUUAACCAAGGAAUAAGCCCCGGCUAAUUACGUGCCAGCAGCCGCGGUAACACGUAAGGGGCAAGCGUUGUUCGGAAUUAUUGGGCGUAAAGGGCGCGCAGGCGGUUUUACAAGUCUGGUGUGAAAUAUCUCAGCUUAACUGAGGGACCGCGCUGGAAACUGUAAGACUAGAAUCUAGGAGGGGAAGCUGGAAUUCCUGGUGUAGGGGUGAAAUCUGUAGAUAUCAGGAAGAACACCGGUGGCGAAGGCGAGCUUCUGGCCAUAGAUUGACGCUGAGGCGCGAAAGCGUGGGGAGCGAACAGGAUUAGAUACCCUGGUAGUCCACGCUGUAAACGAUGUGCACUAGGUGUUGGGCCAUAAGGUUCAGUGCCGUAGCUAACGCGUUAAGUGCACCGCCUGGGGAGUAUGCCCGCAAGGGUGAAACUCAAAGGAAUUGACGGGGGCCCGCACAAGCGGUGGAGCAUGUGGUUUAAUUCGAUGAUACGCGAGAAACCUUACCAGGGCUUGACAUAUAUUUGACAUCUACAGAGAUGUAGAGUUCUCUUCGGAGACAAUUAUACAGGUGCUGCAUGGUUGUCGUCAGCUCGUGCUGUGAAGUGUUGGGUUAAGUCCCGCAACGAGCGCAACCCCUGCUGUCUGUUGCCAUCAUUAAGUUGGGGACUCAGACGGUACUGCCGGUGACAAACCGGAGGAAGGUGGGGACGACGUCAAAUCAUCAUGGCCCUUAUGUCCUGGGCUACACACGUGCUACAAUGGCCGGUACAGAGCGACGCGAGACCGCGAGGUGGAGCAAAUCGCAGAAAGCCGGUCCCAGUACAGAUUGAAGUCUGAAACUCGACUUCAUGAAGGUGGAAUCGCUAGUAAUCGCGCAUCAGCAUGGCGCGGUGAAUACGUUCCCGGGCCUUGUACACACCGCCCGUCACACCACCCGAGUUGGGGGUACCCGAAGUCACUAGUCUAACCUGCAAAGGAGGACGGUGCCGAAGGUAUGCUUGGUAAGGGGGGUGAAGUCGAAACAAGGUA
Molecule: ribosomal RNA, 1460 nt
Filed under: metagenome
Description: bacterial SSU rRNA
Rfam family: Bacterial small subunit ribosomal RNA
Source: RNAcentral